AGCGGGGUACGCAACUGGCGAUAGGCGCGGCGCCCCUCCAGGCCCGCCGCUGACGUGGAAAUCCGGCAAAGACCUCUUUGCAAACCACUGGGGAGCGUACCGCGCACCGCGCGAUCCGUCGUUCGCCUGGGCAGCCCUU
RNAcentral lists this non-coding RNA (139 nucleotides) under Acidovorax sp. MR-S7. Its description in RNAcentral is "ZMP/ZTP riboswitch aptamer (pfl RNA motif)". It matches the Rfam family "ZMP/ZTP riboswitch aptamer (pfl RNA motif)". From Rfam's summary of the family: Previously known as pfl RNA. ZMP is also known as AICAR. RNAcentral also lists the same sequence under 1 other name. The record is from Rfam by way of RNAcentral. Lineage: Bacteria; Pseudomonadati; Pseudomonadota; Betaproteobacteria; Burkholderiales; Comamonadaceae.